AUGCACGCUGGCGGCGUGCCUAAUCCAUGCCAGUCGAGCGAACGGACGAGAAGCUUGCUUCUCUGAUGUUAGCGGCGGACGGGUGAGUAACACGUGGAUAACCUACUUAUAAGACUGGGAUAACUUCGGGAAACCGGAGCUAAUACCGGAUAAUAUUUUGAACCGCAUGGUUCAAAAGUGAAAGACGGUCUUGCUGUCACUUAUAGAUGGAUCCGCGCUGCAUUAGCUAGUUGGUAAGGUAACGGCUUACCAAGGCAACGAUGCAUAGCCGACCUGAGAGGGUGAUCGGCCACACUGGAACUGAGACACGGUCCAGACUCCUACGGGAGGCAGCAGUAGGGAAUCUUCCGCAAUGGGCGAAAGCCUGACGGAGCAACGCCGCGUGAGUGAUGAAGGUCUUCGGAUCGUAAAACUCUGUUAUUAGGGAAGAACAUAUGUGUAAGUAACUGUGCACAUCUUGACGGUACCUAAUCAGAAAGCCACGGCUAACUACGUG
This 496-nucleotide ribosomal RNA is filed under the name uncultured bacterium. RNAcentral describes it as "partial 16S ribosomal RNA". It matches the Rfam family "Bacterial small subunit ribosomal RNA", at positions 29 to 507 of the family's 1533-position model. The record is from RNAcentral.